AACGAACGCUGGCGGCAGGCCUAACACAUGCAAGUCGAGCGCGCCUUCGGGUGAGCGGCGGCCGGGUGAGUAACGCGUGGGAAUAUGCCCUUCUCUACGGAAUAGUCCUGGGAAACUGGGGGUAAUACCGUAUACGCCCUUUGGGGGAAAGAUUUAUCGGGGAAGGAUUAGCCCGCGUUGGAUUAGGUAGUUGGUGGGGUAAUGGCCUACCAAGCCGACGAUCCAUAGCUGGUUUGAGAGGAUGAUCAGCCACACUGGGACUGAGACACGGCCCAGACUCCUACGGGAGGCAGCAGUGGGGAAUCUUAGAUAAUGGGGGCAACCCUGAUCUAGCCAUGCCGCGUGAGUGAUGAAGGCCUUAGGGUUGUAAAGCUCUUUCAGCUGGGAAGAUAAUGACGGUACCAGCAGAAGAAGCCCCGGCUAACUCCGUG
This 431-nucleotide ribosomal RNA is filed under the name uncultured bacterium. Its description in RNAcentral is "partial 16S ribosomal RNA". It matches the Rfam family "Bacterial small subunit ribosomal RNA", at positions 29 to 507 of the family's 1533-position model. The record is from RNAcentral.